CGAGUCCGGCAAGCUACGGCUUGUCAGUGAUGGCGAUCAUACUUCCCAGAAAAGCCCGGACUAUCGUAAAUUCUAAAUACUUGUACCCGAAACCGACACAGGUGGGGAGGUUGAGAAAACUAAGGGGCGCGAGAUAACUCUCUCUAAGGAACUCGGCAAAAUGACCCCGUAACUUCGGGAGAAGGGGUGCCACCGCAAGGUGGUCGCAGUAAAGAGGCCCAGGCGACUGUUUACCAAAAACACAGGUCUCCGCCAAGUCGCAAGACGCAGUAUGGGGGCUGACGCCUGCCCAGUGCCGGAAGGUUAAGGAAGUUGGUCAGGAGUAAUCUAAAGCUGACGACUGAAGCCCCGGUGAACGGCGGCCGUAACUAUAACGGUCCUAAGGUAGCGAAAUUCCUUGUCGGGUAAGUUCCGACCCGCACGAAAGGCGUAACGAUCUGGGCACUGUCUCGGAGAGAGACUCGGCGAAAUAGGAUUGUCUGUGAAGAUACGGACUACCUGCACCUGGACAAAAGACCCUAUGAAGCUUUACUGUAGCCUGGAAUUGGCUUCGGGCUUCGCUUGCGCAGGAUAGGUGGGAGGCGUUGACAUUCCCCUUGUGGGGGGAAUUGAGCCAACGGUGAGAUACCACUCUAGCGAGGCUAGAAGUCUAACUUUCGCCCAUUAUCUGGGGAAAGAACAGUUUCAGGUGGGCAGUUUGACUGGGGCGGUCGCCUCCUAAAUGGUAACGGAGGCGUACAAAGGUUUCCUCAGGCUGGUUGGAAAUCAGCCAUAGAGUGCAAAAGCAGAAGGAAGCUUGACUGCGAGACCUACAAGUCGAGCAGGGACGAAAGUCGGUUUUAGUGAUCCGACGGCGCCGCGUGGAAGGGCCGUCGCUCAACGGAUAAAAGUUACUCCAGGAUAACAGGCUGAUCUCCCCCAAGAGUCCACAUCGACGGGGAGGUUUGGCACCUCGAUGUCGGCUCAUCGCAACCUGGGGCGGAAGUACGUCCCAAGGGUUGGGCUGUUCGCCCAUUAAAGCGGUACGUGAGCUGGGUUCAGAACGUCGUGAGACAGUUCGGUCCAUAUCCGGUGCAGGCGCAAGAGCAUUGAGAGGAGCCUUCCUUAGUACGAGAGGACCGGGAAGGACGCACCACUGGUGUACCUGUUAUCGUGCCAACGGUAGACGCAGGGUAGCCAAGUGCGGAGUGGAUAACCGCUGAAAGCAUCUAAGUGGGAAGCCCACCUCAAGAUGAUUGCUCUCACAGGGUUAACCUGGUAAGGUCACGGGCAGAACACCCGUUAUUAGGCACUAGGUGGAAGUUCAGCAAUGAAUGUAGCCAAGGUGUACUAACAGACCGAGGGCUU
RNAcentral lists this ribosomal RNA (1347 nucleotides) under metagenome. Its description in RNAcentral is "bacterial LSU rRNA". It matches the Rfam family "Bacterial large subunit ribosomal RNA", at positions 1564 to 2925 of the family's 2925-position model. The record is from RNAcentral.